RNAcentral lists this long non-coding RNA (1549 nucleotides) under Homo sapiens (human). RNAcentral's name for it is "HSALNT0234411". The record is from RNAcentral. Lineage: Eukaryota; Metazoa; Chordata; Mammalia; Primates; Hominidae.
CACCAUUCUAGAAUUCUCUGAGUUUUUUGAGCUUAGAGCAGAGUUUCUCAAGAGCUGCAAUACUGGCAUUUGAGUCAAGUCGUUCUUUAUUGUUGGUGGUGGAGGGGGCACCCUGUAUAUUGUAGGACGUUGGGCAGCAUCUCUGACUUCUACCUACUAGAUGCCAGUAUCUCAGUUUUCUUAAAAGACUUUUUUUUUUUUUUUUUUUUUUUUGAGAUGGAGUCUUGCUGUGUUGCCUAGGCUGGAGUGCAGUGGCACCAUGUCGACUCACUGCAACCUCCGCCUCCCCGGUUCAAGCGAUUCUCCUGCCUCAGCCUCCUGAGUAGCUGGGAUUACAGGUGAGCACCACCAUGCCCAGCUAAUCGUAAAAGACUUUUCAUAAAACUUCAGAACUCCUUAAAAACUAGUGAAUAGCCAAGGUGAAGAAAGCCCUCAGGCUUCUGACUUUAGACCCCAAUCCCUGGGACUCCCACACUCAGCAAAGAAAGCUGGGUGCCUGCACCCUGGAUCUCUGAGCAAACCUGUCUUAUGGCUGUGGGCAACUCAGGAACAUGAAUUAGCACGAGAAUCUGGAGUUUUUCUUUCCUUUUCUGAGAGUUUCAUACGCAGACCUUAAGUAGACAUAGUAUCCAGCUAAAAGGGUCUCACUCUGUCACCCAGGCUGGAGUGCAGUGGCGCAGUCAUGGCUCCCUGUAACCUCAACCUCUCAGACUCCAGCAAUCCUCCUGCGACAGAUGUCAAAGAAAGAAAUGCAGAUCCUUCAGUUCAACUCUCAGUUGCAGUAAAGCCACCUACAGGAUCAGGUCAUACUAAACUGAAAUGUUGUUAUUAUCCUUUUCUGUAAGGGAGGCAGUCAAUGGUGAAUGCUGGCCUCGCUGAUUACUCACCUGGAGACCUUUCUGAGGAUCAGUUUUCUCAUCUAGAAAAUGGGACAACUGCCAGACCACUGAAGAAAAUACAGAAAACAGCCCCACACAUCAGCAUGUUUGGUUGCUGCCAGUCUACUUGGAUCUGAGUAUUUUUUCUUGCCAUGAAUGUGACGUGAUUAUCUUCUCCUACAUCACACUGAAGUUUUAUGAAUGAUGCUUUGAAGUGGGAAGGGCCAGAGAGUUAAUAUUUUCGGCUUCUUGGGCCAGCUGGUCUCGGUGGCAGCUACUGAGCUCUGCCACUGCAGCAGAGAACGGGCACAGGCGAUAUGGAAAUGAUAGGCGCGGCUGUGUUCCAAUAAAACUUUAUUUACAAAAAUGGGCAGUAGACCAGAUUUGGUCUGUGUCUUAGAGUUUGCUGACCCUGCUUUAAAGAAACAUCAAAGAGAUUCUACCAGCUGAUUUCCUUGCUCCCAAAAUUCUUGUAAGGACUAUGGCUGAGUUAGGAAGUUAUGUACUUUAAUAGCUAAUUUCAGGCCUGGCGUGGUGGCUCACGCCUGUAAUCCCAGCACUUCGGGAGGCUGAGGUGGGUGGAUCACUUGAGGUCAGGAGUUUCAGACCAGCCUGGCCAACAUGGCGAAACCCUGUCUCUACUAAAAAUACAAAAAAAUUAGCUGGGCGUG